This 763-nucleotide ribosomal RNA is filed under the name uncultured Streptococcus sp. RNAcentral describes it as "bacterial SSU rRNA". It matches the Rfam family "Bacterial small subunit ribosomal RNA", at positions 28 to 776 of the family's 1533-position model. Lineage: Bacteria; Bacillati; Bacillota; Bacilli; Lactobacillales; Streptococcaceae. The record is from RNAcentral.
GACGAACGCAGGCGGCGUGCCUAAUACAUGCAAGUAGAACGCUGAAGAGAGGAGCUUGCUCUUCUGGCUGAGUUGCGAACGGGUGAGUAACGCGUAGGUAACCUGCCUUGUAGCGGGGGAUAACUAUGGAAACGAUAGCUAAUACCGCAUAACAAUGAGUGACACAUGUCAUUUAUUUGAAAGGGGCAAUUGCUCCACUACAAGAUGGACCUGCGUUGUAUUAGCUAGUAGGUGAGGUAACGGCUCACCUAGGCGACGAUACAUAGCCGACCUGAGAGGGUGAUCGGCCACACUGGGACUGAGACACGGCCCAGACUCCUACGGGAGGCAGCAGUAGGGAAUCUUCGGCAAUGGGGGCAACCCUGACCGAGCAACGCCGCGUGAGUGAAGAAGGUUUUCGGAUCGUAAAGCUCUGUUGUAAGUCAAGAACGAGUGUGAGAGUGGAAAGUUCACACUGUGACGGUAGCUUACCAGAAAGGGACGGCUAACUACGUGCCAGCAGCCGCGGUAAUACGUAGGUCCCGAGCGUUGUCCGGAUUUAUUGGGCGUAAAGCGAGCGCAGGCGGUUUGACAAGUCUGAAGUUAAAGGCUGUGGCUCAACCAUAGUUCGCUUUGGAAACUGUCAAACUUGAGUGCAGAAGGGGAGAGUGGAAUUCCAUGUGUAGCGGUGAAAUGCGUAGAUAUAUGGAGGAACACCGGUGGCGAAAGCGGCUCUCUGGUCUGUAACUGACGCUGAGGCUCGAAAGCGUGGGGAGCGAACAGG